Camelus dromedarius (Arabian camel) is the source of this 4577-nucleotide long non-coding RNA. RefSeq lists it as uncharacterized. NCBI's taxonomy places the organism in Eukaryota, Metazoa, Chordata, Mammalia, Artiodactyla, Camelidae. The transcript is spliced from 3 exons. The record is from RefSeq and is a predicted model, not a curated record.
GCGAGCGCGGGCCUCCAGCCGCCGCGGCGGCCCGGCCAGAGGCCAGCGGGAGGAAAUGGAGCCGACCACAUCUGAGGCCUGCCGAAAGGAGCAGCAGCUGCCUCGGAGGCCGCCAGCACGCGAGAACCAGGAGACCCCUACUCUGCCGCCCAUCCCCACACCUCCCUCCCUCGAUUUUGGUGAUGCUGCUGGAUCCUGGUCCUCCUCCGUCCCCUUCACAGAGCUGCUCUCCACCCUUCCAACCUCACCCUCUCAGCUCUCCUGGAAACCUCACCUACCCCAAGGCUCCACUGCUCAGCUGGCACGAAUAACCCAAAAGCGUCCUUUCUCCUGGACUGUACCACAAGCUCCCAGCCUGCUCUCCAACUAGCACACAUGUUUCUACUUGGAUGCGACUUCAAUCCAACACAUUUAAAACCUAACUCGGCACCUGUCCUCCUUUUCCAGCAACUCCUCCUCUGGACGUUCCUUUUUUCAAAAGCCACAUGAAGAGCCAUUCUCCUGAGUAUCCUGGCUCACACCUUCCGUCAGCUUUGACGCCCUCCUCUUCAUGUUUCCAUGUGCAAGCAGAUCCUGGUCCUGUCAACCGCUCCUCUGCACAGUAUUGCAGAUCUGCCUUCUCUCCGUUUCCUGUCACUUACCUCUCACAGGGACAGCUGGAGGAGGCGCCCUGACCGGCCAGCCCAGCUUUCACCCCAGCACACCAAGCUGGGGAUCAGUCAACGCACUGAGCCCUGCGGGAACCCCAGCCCCCAGCUCCCAGGCCAGGGCGCCUUCUAAUUCGCUACUUCAGUCUUCUCUUCUGGUUUAAGUGAUAACAGUAAACACGUAGGUAAACAAAUAGGUAAGUGUGUCAAGGGCAAAAAAGACCCUUUCAUCUGACAGUGCCACUCCUAGGAAUUUAGGUUUAUAAACCUGCACUUCAGAAAAUCUUUUCUACACAAUAGCGAAAACUGAGAACUCAGGGUGAGGGGAGCAGCUUAGUAAAUUACGAUACAAUUGAGUGGGAUAUUAGAGUCAUCAAGACCCUUAGAUUAUGAACACCAAGGAAAAAAACUGGGUAAAGUGGGAAGUAAAAGUUGGGGAAUACCAUACUGCAUGAAUUUAUGAUUACAACUACGUACCAUAUGCAUGCAAAUCAUAAAAGAGGGAAGGUAGUUCUUUAAAUAAGUGAAAAUAGCUGUAGCAGCCCCAAAGAAUUAUGGAGCUUCACCUAUGGAUGCUAUCAGCACAUUUUAACAACCAUACCUUUUAUAUUUGCAUAUAUAUAAUUAUGUAUUCAUUUAUUUCCCCCCCCAACAAAUACGUAUUGAGCAUUUACUAUGUGAGUGUCAUUUCAGGCACUGGGGACACAGCAGUGAGGAAGCAGUCCCUGCCUCAUGGACAGAGACUUUUUAGAGGUUUGGAUUUGUCUUGCGUCCCAUUCAAAGAGCCGGGGGAACCCUGGUGGAUGACCCAAGAGAAUACAGGAAGGUCAUUAAGAAGAGAAUGACAAGGAAGGUAAAGAACAGUUUCAGCAGAAGAUGCAGCAAUGAGGAAGAUGCAGAGAUGGAGGAACAGGAAGGUCUGUCAUGCAAAGCAGAGGAUGACGAGGUGAAAACAAGAAACUCCCACUUCCCCGAGAUGACCGCAGUUUACACCCGGGAAGGAUGACAGUUCCUUUCCCCUACGCAACAUGCACUUAAUUUACAAAAUUGGGGUCGCUGAGUAUAUUCGUUUUUUUUAAAUAAUAAUUUCUCCUCUUGCUGUAUCACAAGUAUUUUCCUAUAGUGUUAACCCUACUUCAAAAUUUCAUUUCUUCCAAAGCUUUCCACGGUCCCUGGUAUGCAUCUGCGCAUAUGUACGGCCCCCGAGGUUGAAGGUCUAGCACUCUCACGUUUUGCUAGGUUCUCAAGACACGCAGUAACUGUAGGGUAGUUUUUUCCCUCUUCGUGUCACCUCUGUCCAGGCUUGUGAUUCCUCCAAGGGUGGGGAUGGAAAACUUGGCACUAAGCCAGGACUCUGGUCGGCUGAAGGGAUGGACUCUCCCAGCCCCACAGGCUGCAGGUAACCACCUUGAUAACCAACAGGCAGGAUUUCACUCACAUGAGCACGAGGGUUCCAUCUCAUCUGGGUGACAACUUAGGAGGAACGUCUCUAGUCUGCCUUUACAGAGAAAUAUUAUGCAGCCAUUAAAAGGAAUGAAAUACUGACACAUGCUACAACACGGAUAAACCCUGAAAACAUUAUGUUCAGUGAGAGAAGCCAGACACGAAAGGCCACAUAUUAUAUGACUCUAUUUAUGUGAAAUGUCCAGAGCAGGCAAAUCCAUAGAGACAAAAACAUUAGUGGUUGCCUAAGACUGAGGGGAGUGGAGGAAGUAAAAAGGGAGUGAAAGCUAGUGGGUAGAGUUUCUUUUCAGGGUGAUGGAAAUAUUCUUAAAUAGACAGUGGUGAUGACUGGACAACUCUGUGAAUAUACUAAAACCACUGAAUUGUACACUUUAAGUGGAGAAAUUGGAGAAAUUGUAUGUUAUGUAAAUUAUAUCUCAAUAAUUGUAACUGUAAUAAUUAUAACUGUAAUUGAAAAAAAAAACCUUUAGAGAAAACUUUCGUUUCUAUCUCUAUAAAAAGCUUUAAAACAAGAGCAGAAAAUGAACAUUUGCUCCAGGAGGGAAGGGCUGAGCUGGUGACCCUCUCCCCGAAGGAGAGAAAGGGACAGAGGAACGACAGGAACAUGAAAAUACUCUUCUUUGUACAUCCCUCACACAAGCACUGAUGACUCCUUUUACUUCCUCACUGGGUUACAAGUGAAAGUGAAAACAAGGGAGGCCUCAUCUCAGAGAAGGUGGUGGUGGCCAAGAGGGGGAGACCAUCCCCCCCCCCGAUCCACUGCCAAGUUUUGAAGGGAAGGACCCCUUAGGAGAGCAGGGUUGUCACUGCCGAGAGGAGAGGCAAGCGGGUGUGGCCAUGAGCUCUGACAGUGCAUGCUGGGGUCCCCAAAACUGAGAACCACUGACAUAAACCCAUGAAAUGUAGGCUGGUUCAGAAGAUCCUUAUUAUUUAAAAGAAAAAAGUUGGAGAGGGGAGUUCGCAAGAGUCAGUGAAAUAAAAACAAAUAAGAUCAAGAAUGUGUAUUAAGCAAUUAGCAUGCCCUUAAAAGUUAAAUUUUGUCGAAAAAAACAAGAAUCAAGUGUUUAAUACCCACAGUGUAAGAGGGGCUGCGAGAGAACCUCACAGUCAGUUACCUGUGACGUGUCCCCCUUGUAAUGCAAAUGACCACUGCACAGCCUCCACCCAUGGACGGGGGCAGGUGGGCAGGGGACCCACCAGCUCUGGCCCGGCCUCGGCCUUGGGACAUAGCCAAGGCUCCCACUUUGGCAGGCCACUAACCCCGAAGUGGCCAAGAGGAGUGAAUUCCCACACCCCCAACCCGAGGUGUCAUUCUGCAGAAAGCACCAGCCACGCCCUACUCAAGGCCGGUCUCAAGAGGGAGUGGCAGUGGCUAGACCAGCUCUUUUGUUUGGUUAGAAACAGGAGCAUAUUUUUAUUUGGCUUCAGUUAUCAGAGUGUUUUAGUGUGAGUUAUUCAGAUAUUUGCCCCUAUUUUUUUCCUACUUGACUCAGAGGCUGGAGAAAUGCUAAUAUAUAUAAUGCUUUCUACGUUUCAGGCAUGUUCUAAGAGCUUUAAUUUCUCCAGCCUCAUAACCCUUUACUUUACGCAAGAGAAAACUGAAGCCCAGGUGGUUAAGUAACUUGCCCCGAGGUGAUGCUGGCUGGACCAGUUUUAAAGUCCCUCUCUCCCACCAGCUCUGGCCUUGAUCCCUGGCUGACGCCAAACCAGCUAGGGGAGGGGUGCUGCGGCCUGGCACUGCGGACAGAGGGGCAAAGGGAAACAGGAGGAGUUCCCUGGAGAACUGGGCCCUGCCCCACCUCUCUGCCUGAGGAGCUGGCUGAUGAUAAAGACCCAGGAGCUAAGUGUUCACUGGGAGCUGGAGGAGCAUGUGACCAGGAGAGCACCUGAGCAGAGGGACCAGAUUCCCAGUCCCAGCUCUUCUAAGACUUGUACUGGACAAGUCACUUUAUCUAUCUGGGUCUCACUAUUCCUCACCUGCUCAAAAUAAUUUCUUUUUUAAUGUCAGGAAAAACUGAGGAUCUGCUCCAGAUUAAAGACUAAAAAAACCUGACCAACGAAUACAGGUGAUCUAGAGGUUUUUCUCCUACAAAAGAGGUUGUGUCAAUUGGCAAAAUUUGAAUAAGGUCUGUAGAUUCAUGUUAUUAGUGCUCACAAGGUCUGUAGAUUAAGUCAGUAACUAGUGUUGCAUCCAUGUUAAUUUCCUGAUUUUGGUCACUGCACUGUGGUUAUUUAUGUGAUUUUAGAAACUCCACACUCAAGUAUUUAGAAGUAAAAUGUGUCACAUUUGCUACUUACUUUCAAAUGGUUCAAAUAAAAAUUAUAGAGAAAGAGAGAGAAGAGUAAGGCAAAUGUAGCAACAUGUUAACAUUUGGGGAGUCUGAGCGAAGAGAAUUCUUUGUACUUAUUCUUGCAACUUUUCUGAAACUCUGAAAUUGCGCCAAAAUAAAAAUAUUUUUUAGAAAA